This 460-nucleotide ribosomal RNA is filed under the name uncultured bacterium. RNAcentral describes it as "partial 16S ribosomal RNA". It matches the Rfam family "Bacterial small subunit ribosomal RNA", at positions 338 to 795 of the family's 1533-position model. The record is from RNAcentral.
GCUACGGGAGGCUGCAGUGAGGAAUAUUGGUCAAUGGGCGCGAGCCUGAACCAGCCAAGUCGCGUGAGGGAGGACGGCCCUACGGGUUGUAAACCUCUUUUGCCGGGGAGCAACGGACGCCACGUGUGGCGUCACUGAGAGUACCCGGAGAAAAAGCACCGGCUAACUCCGUGCCAGCAGCCGCGGUAAUACGGAGAUUGCGAGAGUUAUCCGGAUUUAUUUGGUUUAAAGGGUGCGUAGGCGGGUCGUGAAGUCAGUGGUCAAAUUGCGGGGAUCAACCCCUUCCCGCCAUUGAAACUGGCGUUCUUGAGUGGAAGAGAGGUAUGCGGAAUGCGUGGUGUAGCGGUGAAAUGCAUAGAUAUCACGCAGAACCCCGAUUGCGAAGGCAGCAUGCCGGCGUCCGACUGACGCUGAAGCACGAAAGCGUGGGGAUCGAACAGGAUUAGAUACCCGAGUAGUC